CCGGAGCGGACACGUCCACGAACCGGACCGCGCUGGACAAGAGCACUGCGCCGUCCCUGCCCAUGCGGACCUGCGGCCGGGGGCGCGGGCGGGCCAGCGGGAGAGCUGUGAAAUACUUGAAUGGAGCUGAGCCAACUCACCUGGAGAAAGUGAAUUUCAAACUUCUGCUGCACAUCAGCCACCGCGCCGCUGAGGGAGCCCAGGAGGAAGGCAACGCCCGCAGACGAUAUGACCCCUGCGUCUGUGUCCAGAGCUUGCCAUAACCACGGGAGCCGGCAGAGCAAGUGGGGAGCGGACCUCAAGAACAACGUUAAUGCAGAUUCCGCCCUGGC
Molecule: long non-coding RNA, 332 nt
Organism: Dipodomys spectabilis (banner-tailed kangaroo rat)
Lineage: Eukaryota; Metazoa; Chordata; Mammalia; Rodentia; Heteromyidae
Exons: 3
Source: RefSeq, a predicted model, not a curated record